Long non-coding RNA from Felis catus (domestic cat), 1088 nucleotides. RefSeq lists it as uncharacterized. The record is from RefSeq and is a predicted model, not a curated record. Lineage: Eukaryota; Metazoa; Chordata; Mammalia; Carnivora; Felidae. The transcript has 3 exons.
UACAAAUUUAGGAAGGGCACCAUUUGAUGCAUAACUAUUUCUAUGCUUCAAAUUAGACUCCUGUUCCCUCAACCUGCAACACUUCCACUUGUACAGAUCGAGUGAGAAUUCAGUAGAAUGUCUAUCUACUCUUUUUCUAGGGACACUGUGAUCAUCUAGCCAGCACCAUACCUCCUUGUGAGUCAGAUUAUUCUGCUUCCUUCUUUGGUGUCAACAGUCCCCACUGUAAAUUCUGACCUGAAAGGAAGAGCAACCACAGAGCUCAUGAAGGACGCUGAGACUGCCCUCAAAAAUUUAUUUCUCACAGUUGUAAUGAAAGACUAUAUCUCCAAGAGAUGCAGAGAAGCCAGGGAGAGGAAGAGGAGAGGUCCAAAAGAGAGCUGGGGUCUGUUUCACCUCUGCCUGACAUCAACACUCUUAAUUCUGUCCUUCUCACAGAAGUGCAACCUGUUACACCUCACGUGUGCCUGUAUGGACACCCCACCCAGGAUCUAAGGUAUGUCCAUGCCUCUAUAAACAACUUCCCCUUGGCCAGCACAGGGACCCAGGGAUUCCUAUCUACACAGUGACCUCCCCUCAGGAGGAUAGACUUUAUAAGAAGAUCCCAGAAGUGGGAGUGGACUAUUUGGGCAAGAAACUGUUAUUGAAGUAUGGUCUAGAGGGAUGGAUAUGGACUCUGGGUAAGCACAUCCCCUUGCCUCUCAAGAGCUGUGCCCAAUGGGGAAGGACACAGCUGGAAAAGGACCAGAGCAGGACCAUCUAAAGCAUGAGGACCCAGUGCAGGGACCUCUUUUGCACACUAUAAAGACUGAAGACGGCCUCCCUGACAAACUGGUGGCAUCGCUCAGUCUCUGGGCUACUAUUGUACCUGGCCCCCUUCCCUAGCCUGCCUCUCUUAUUCACUGCCAGUUCCAGACCCAUUAAGACAAUGUAUUGUCGCCAUGUUCAUUUUACAAUAACAUACACAAGGCAUGAAUUCACAGUCACCAAGCCUUAUUACACUCUCAAACAGCUCUCGCUAGAGGAAAUAGUCUGGCGGGAUUUUGCACUGUAAUAUUUAUUGUGGCAAUAACAUGGAGCCUCCCUAC